CGGGGUGAGUAAUGUCUGGGAAACUGCCUGAUGAGGGGGAGUAACUGCUGGAAACGGUAGCUAAUACCGCAUAACGUCGCAAGACCAAAGAGGGGACCUUCGGGCCUCUUGCCAUCGGAUGUGCCCAGAUGGGAUUAGCUAGUAGGUGGGGUAACGGCUCACCUAGGCGACGAUCCCUAGCUGGUCUGAGAGGAUGGCCAGCCACACUGGAACUGAGACACGGUCCAG
This 228-nucleotide ribosomal RNA is filed under the name uncultured bacterium. RNAcentral describes it as "partial 16S ribosomal RNA". It matches the Rfam family "Bacterial small subunit ribosomal RNA", at positions 104 to 334 of the family's 1533-position model. The record is from RNAcentral.